This 473-nucleotide ribosomal RNA is filed under the name uncultured bacterium. RNAcentral describes it as "bacterial SSU rRNA". It matches the Rfam family "Bacterial small subunit ribosomal RNA", at positions 917 to 1382 of the family's 1533-position model. The record is from RNAcentral.
GGGCCCGCACAAGCAGCGGAGCAUGUGGUUUAAUUCGAAGCAACGCGAAAAACCUUACCAGAACUUGACAUCCCGAUGAACAAUGUGGAGACAUAUUGGGCUUACGCAAGUAAGACAUUGGAGACAGGUGGUGCAUGGUUGUCGUCAGCUCGUGUCGUGAGAUGUUGGGUUAAGUCCCGCAACGAGCGCAACCCUUAUUGUUAGUUACCAGCGGGUCAUGCCGGGGACUCUAACGAGACUGCCGUGGAUAACACGGAGGAAGGUGGGGAUGACGUCAAAUCAUCAUGCCCCUUACGUUCUGGGCUACACACGUGCUACAAUGGUCUGUAACAAAGAGAAGCGAAGCCGCAAGGUGAAGCAAACCUCAAAAACCAGAUCUCAGUUCGGAUUGUGGGCUGCAACCCGCCCACAUGAAGUCGGAGUUGCUAGUAAUCGCGAAUCAGCAUGUCGCGGUGAAUGCGUUCCCGGGCCUU